GAGAGUUUCGCUGGAACCGUAGGCCACAGCCGCCGCCGCCGCCGCCGCCUCCAUUGGAGAAUGCCCACUGAAUAGGAAUCGAUCCCUGUCUCCAUCAGUGGUUUGGCUGAAUUGAGUCUCGUUUGGGAGUAAGAAGAUUUACUCCGAUGGCGAAUAUGCCGGAGAAAUUGAACCAGUGUAAGCUUGAUGCUCGCCGUGAACAAUGCCUUUCGCAAGGUCCUGCAUUCAUUUUCUUUUCUUUUUUUGAUUUUUACAGUUCUGUAUUUUUCUUGCAUAAAUUAAAUUGGAAUCUUGCAUCCACUAAUUAUCUAGAGCUUGCUCUCUUUUUUUCAUUCACAAUGAAUUUCCUGGGCCCUUUGAUUGUAUUGGCAUAUCUUUCCUUUUAUAUAUUGUGACUGUCAGGAAGACGUAGGAUAACCUUGGUUAUUAUGGGUGCUUCAUAUGUAACCAUAUCUAACUUGGAUGUUGGAUAACCUUUAUUUUUGGUUGUUUCUGGUUGGUAGUCUUUGUGAUGAUCAGUUGGGAAGUGUAUAUAUGCCUGCUUGCUAUGGUUGUUUUAUUAUUAAUGAAACUUGCAAGUGUCCUGAGGUUUGUGAUGAUCAGUUGGGAAGUUGUUUAUUCUAAUGAAACAGAGAGCAGGUUGCGUAGGUUGUACUAUGGCUAUCAUGAAGAAUGUUUUAAGGUGUCUUUCGGAUCUUUUACCUGUUUGCUGUUGCUUUUCUGCUGAUCUACCAGUCACUUUUCCAUCUAUUUCACCACCUUAGCUGCAAUUUUCUUCGAUGGAGGUUGUAGGAGUUGAAAUUCUCUCUCUGACAGAACUAUUAGCCAUUUCUUGGACUGGAUUUGGCUGUUGAUGAAAUGACUCUGCAUCAUAUUGUAGGAUUGCAUUAAGUGCUUCUUGUACUAACUUUAUGGCUGCAGUCUGUUGCAGUCCAAGUUUCUCUGUCUUUGCAACUUGGUCAUCAACUUCCUAGAGAUUGUUGCUGUUUUUACUCAGCUCCAUAUUCAAGUUACUCAUCUCAUGGCUAUUGUUUCCAUCUCCACUUUCUUUUUCAUCUGCUUGAAUGAUAUCUUGGGCCUCAUUCGUUUAUGGUUCA
Spinacia oleracea (spinach) is the source of this 1097-nucleotide long non-coding RNA. RefSeq lists it as uncharacterized. The transcript is spliced from 4 exons. The record is from RefSeq and is a predicted model, not a curated record. Lineage: Eukaryota; Viridiplantae; Streptophyta; Magnoliopsida; Caryophyllales; Amaranthaceae.